This 79-nucleotide small RNA is filed under the name Flavobacterium sp. 123. RNAcentral's name for it is "Flavo-1 RNA". It matches the Rfam family "Flavo-1 RNA". The record is from Rfam by way of RNAcentral. Lineage: Bacteria; Pseudomonadati; Bacteroidota; Flavobacteriia; Flavobacteriales; Flavobacteriaceae.
GUCUAGCCCUGAUGGAAGCGGUAUCCUUUUAUCCGCCUUUUUUAGGCGGGGAAAGAUACAGCGUACAGCAGGAAAUAGC